RNA transcript from Nomascus leucogenys (northern white-cheeked gibbon), 2806 nucleotides. It is a transcript of the gene named dynein axonemal light intermediate chain 1, with no coding region annotated. The transcript is spliced from 7 exons. The record is from RefSeq and is a predicted model, not a curated record. NCBI's taxonomy places the organism in Eukaryota, Metazoa, Chordata, Mammalia, Primates, Hylobatidae.
UUCCAUGGUGACGGCAAACAAGGCCCACACUGCACAGGGCCGCAGCUGGGCUGCUACUCUCGCCGCCGCCAUGAUUCCCCCCGCAGACUCUUUGCUCAAGUACGACACCCCGGUGCUGGUGAGCCGGAACACGGAGAAACGGAGCCCCAAGGCUCGGCUACUGAAAGUCAGCCCCCAGCAGCCUGGACCUUCAGGUUCAGCCCCACAGCUACCCAAGACCAAGCUCCCCUCAAAUCCCUGUGUCCCAGAUCCUACAAAGCAGGCAGAAGAAAUCUUGAAUGCCAUACUACCCCCAAGGGAGUGGGUGGAAGACACGCAGCUAUGGAUCCAGCAGGUGUCCAGCACCCCUAGCACCAGGAUGGACGUGGUGCACCUCCAGGAGCAGUUAGACUUAAAGCUGCAGCAGCGGCAGGCCAGGGAAACAGGCAUCUGCCCUGUCCGCAGGGAACUCUACUCACAGUGUUUUGAUGAGUUGAUCCGGGAGGUCACCAUCAACUGUGCGGAGAGGGGGCUGCUGCUGCUGCGAGUCCGGGACGAGAUCCGCAUGACCAUCGCUGCCUACCAGACCCUGUACGAGAGCAGCGUGGCGUUUGGCAUGAGGAAGGCACUGCAGGCUGAGCAGGGGAAGUCAGACAUGGAGAGGAAAAUUGCAGAAUUGGAGACAGAAAAGAGAGACCUGGAGAGGCAAGUGAACGAGCAGAAGGCAAAAUGUGAAGCCACUGAGAAGCGGGAGAGCGAGAGGCGGCAGGUGGAGGAGAAGAAGCACAAUGAGGAGAUUCAGUUCCUAAAGCGAACAAAUCAGCAGCUGAAGGAUAAAGGAAGCUGACUUUGGUGGUGGGAGAAGGGGAGGGCUCCAGAGGGGGUCUCUACUCUCAACUCCAAAUCUCUGAGGCACCUCAGCCUGGCUCGCCAGUGGAGGAUUCUUCUCCCUGGAAAAAAGUUGCCCAUCCUCAAGGAAGAGGUGGAUAUGGCAAAAAGUGGAACUCCAUUCCCCUGGAAGCUGGCCCAACUGGAAGGCAUUAUUGCACCAAGGAAGUGAUAAUUUCCACAUGAUUAAUUUCCAACAAGACACUUGGGAGUUAUUUACUGUGUUCCUCUGGCAGCCAAUAAAAUCAUCAUAAGCCCUUUGUAAUAAAAAGCUGGUUUCCUGAGUGAACAAGCCAUACCCUCCCCUAAACACCACCUAGGUAUUUGUCAGAAGUCACACUGUUCCUCCAAUGUCCUCAAACACCUAAGGUCUGCCAGCCAGGCUGCUGGCUGGGCAAUGGAAGAUGGUGUGGCCCUGUUAGUCUCAGUAUGUGGCUUACUAGCUAGCCUUGGGAACUGCCAGCUCAAAUUCUAAGAAAGCCACUGCUUUCUCAUCAUCACUCUAUACCAAUACUUAUUUCUGGCCAAAUGAAUCUGCUUCUCUGCCCCUCAAACCUUUAGUUCACAAUUCAUCUUCUACCUUAACUCGGGCUUCUUGGGUCUCUGGCCUUCCUUACUUAAUGUCUUCUUUUCCCUACUCUAAUGCAUUUCUAACUCACUUUGGAGCUUUGGUUUUCUAAUGUAUUAUCCCCACUUGCCAGUCAACUGGACCCCUUCCUCCUCGGUUUCAGACUGCCUACGUUAGGAAACAAUGGCAGAGUCAAACCCAUGGCUUUGGAGAAAGUAAAUGUUUGCCAGAAAGGAAUACUAGUCACAGUGGCCUUUGUGAGUUGUCCACAACUCAGCUCUUCCCCCAGCACAGAUCUGUUCCCCUUAUCCUGCAGAAAAUCAAGCCCUGACUCUGCCCUCCCCUAAGUAGUGAUGUUAAUUAACAACUGAAGACGUAACCAAAUCUCACAUGCAGGUCUAAUGACUAAUGAUUGGAGUACGGCUGCUAGACAACUGCAUUUUAGUAUUCCUCUUCCACUCUCCUGGUUUUGUAGACCCAGAAGAUUGAAUGAGUGACAUAAAUCUUUAGUUUGGGGCAAGCCAGGGUGGGCUGGGGUGGUAAGCUGGAAGACUUCCAUCCUUCAGUCAGGCUGCACAAGUAACAUUACCUAAAACGCACUAACAUGCUCAGGUUCCCCAGAAAGAGGCAUGAGAAGGGACUCUCCUUAGCAGAGCUUCCGCCUGCCAUCUGUCGGGUUCAGUGAGCUUCAAGGCUCACAAUGGAAGCACUGUCGUUCCCCCAGAAAAGCUGUGUUCCCCAUGCUGAACACACCAUACACAUUCUCAUCUGGAAUCUAAGGGGCAGCUUUUACCCUGAUCCAGUAUCCUGAGGAAUUUUAAGGCUCCACUCAAAUGACCUGCCUGUGUUGUCAUUUCCAUGGGAAAGAACUCUUUCCACGAGAUCUGCUAGUUCCAGGUCUCUAAAACAGGAAUGUAUAUGCCAUAAGCGGGUCCACUUCAGACUCAAUGAGGCAGAAAUUACUGUAGUUUUCUAUUUCUUCCACACCCAACCUUCUCCUUGUAUUUCAAAGCCCAGGCCAUGUACACUAAUGUCCUUGAAAUUUGCAGUUCUGUAUGCUUCUAUUCCAAAUCAUUCAUUACCAAUAAAAAAGUACCACCCUUUCCAUUUUAUAGACCUCAUCCCCUAUUUCUGUCAGACAGAACUUCUUAGUUCAUCCACAGUCUACCUGAAGUGCUAGACUUUCAAACUCUUAUCACUGAAAUCCUUAAGGUUGAGGACGCUUUAUUUCCCUAGCACUGGUGAAGGGCUUCAACUGCCAAACCUCAGAACAAAUGCAUUAUGGCCUUAGAAAUGCCAACGGGGCAGGAAGAAAACACAAUUUCUAACUGCAUGUUUUUGUAUAAUUUAAUAAAAACCUUUUAAACAUUA